RNAcentral lists this long non-coding RNA (1506 nucleotides) under Callithrix jacchus (white-tufted-ear marmoset). Its description in RNAcentral is "lncRNA (ENSCJAG00000070341.1)". The record is from RNAcentral. Lineage: Eukaryota; Metazoa; Chordata; Mammalia; Primates; Cebidae.
CAUUAUACUUUUUAGCAUGAAAACUAUUAAAAUUAUUUAAUAAUUCCCUCAGUGUUGCUUUCCAACUGAUAUGCUUCCAAAAUAUCUGCUAUCUUGAUUGAUAUAUGUAACCUCAGUUAUCUAAGUAGCCAAUUAGACAGGGCACCUCAGCUCUUCCUGUUAGAAGUCUAUAUGCUCUAUACUAAAAUGGCAUUUGGGUUACCCAUUAAAAAGAGCUAUAAAGCCAAAAAUGUCUCUAGUAAAUCUCUCUUAAACUUCUCUACAGGCAGCAUUCUAAGCUGGAUCAUUUGGUCCAGAGUAGAGAUGAAGUUAUUUAUAUUUUUCUAAAUUUUCUGACUGCUAGUCAAUCUGGCUAUAAGAUUACUCACUUUAAAACACAAAACUCCACAUUUUCAUUUGUGAAAAGUGUGGUUAAUCAUAUUUCAAACAAACAACGUAAUACAAAUCAAAAAGUAGAGCGCAAAGGAGAAUCAAUUCGACUGCAGAACUAUGAUGUCUCAGAAUAUUCCAAUUUGUAGGGACAUUUAUGUUGAACAAAGCAGGAAAAAUUAAAAAGCUUUACAAUUUAAAGAAACGGUAUCUAAUCCUCAUGGUUUACCCUCCACUUGCCUGUCACUUGAUGGAGAACGUGGGAGAUAAGGGGAGUGCAGUGGCUUGGGGGUCUGAAAUUAGCCAGGCUGAAUGAAAGCAACUACUGUUUCACAGCAGGGCAGAGUCAAAACUGCUGCUUGUUGCUGAUGUUUCUGCCCAAAUACCAUGAAAAUGUGGAGAAGAAAGAAAGAACACUCAGAUGUGCCUGGAGACUUUCUUUUUAUUUUUAAACAUGUACAUCCUGAAAUUAUGUUAGACUUUCUGGAAUCACCUUCCAGGCACUUCUCCUUUCUGCCACCACAUGAAGAAGAAUAUAUUUGCUUCCUCUUCUGCCAUAAUUGUAAGUUUCCUGAGGCUUUCCCAGCCAUGCUGAACUGUGAGUGAAUUAAACUUCUUUCCUUUAUAAAUUAUCCAGUCUCAGGUAUGUCUUCAGUAGCAGCGUGAGAAUGGACUAAUACAGUCAUCAUCUUCCAAUGUGCCCUCACAGCUGUCUCCACUAGCUUCAACAUCUCUGCCUCUACAUUUAAUGCUGACUUUCCCACUUGUACUUCUGUUUAACCAGACCUGACUAUAUUCAACUGUGCAUUUUAACUUCCUAUCAUAUACAUACAUUCGCUUCUUAACAUAUAUAUACUUACAUAUACAUAUUUAAUAUCUAUGUUUAUUAAAAAGACUCCAAGAGGGGAGAGGUGAGGUCCUAAUUCAAGGUGACAUGGGUAAUAAAUUAAAAAUUACAAUCUAUAGACUCAGAGUCUAUCUACAACACUUCCGCUAAAACUAUGUCUAAUUUUCACUGAUACUGUAAGGCUAAAUCUUCACCAGUUGAAUCUGUUCAUUCACUUCUUCAGAACUUCAUCCUAGUCUUUCUGCACAUUUCUAAUAAAUGACAAUGAUAGCAACUCAGUUGUUUUAAAU